AUGGAAACAGCCAGUCACCAGAGACCACAUAAGGAAACAAUAGUGCUGCAAUUUGCCGCUGAGAACCUUUCAAAGACGACGCUGACUCCUGCACCUUUGGGCAGCCAAGGGCCAGCGCAGGUGUGGGCAGCCCCCAGAGGAUGCAAGAAGAGCAAACUGUGGAAGCUGGAAGGACCUUUGCAGGCACCUGGGAGCUGCCGUUAUUGCCACCUUCGACGUGCCAUAAAGGGGCCCUGAAGUGCUUGUGUGUGCGGCACACCCGAAUAAUUGCAAACAACAUGAUAUGAUGCUAGUAACACCAAAUUCUCAGGUUUCUGGAAUUAUCCCCAACAUUGAGCAAAAGCAAGAGUGCAGAUUAUAUUGUGAGAAGGCUUUAAUUUCUGACUCUUUAAAUAAAUAUUGAGAGUAUUGCAUAAGGCUUCCAUACCACACUGUUCAUUUAAAACAAAGUG
Molecule: long non-coding RNA, 452 nt
Organism: Callithrix jacchus (white-tufted-ear marmoset)
Lineage: Eukaryota; Metazoa; Chordata; Mammalia; Primates; Cebidae
Source: Ensembl